UAUCUACCCUUCGGCCUGCAAUAACACGAGGAAACUUGUGCUAAUACCGGAUAAGUCUUUACGGAGAAAGCUUUAUGCACCAUUGGAUGAGCCUGCACUUGAUUAGUUUGUUGGUGGGGUAAUGGCCUACCAAGACUGUGAUCAAUAGCUGAUUUGAGAGGAUGAUCAGCCACAUUGGGACUGAGACACGGCCCAAACUCCUACGGGAGGCAGCAGUGGGGAAUCUUGCACAAUGGAGGAAACUCUGAUGCAGCGAUGCCGCGUGAGUGAAGAAGGCCUUUGGGUUGUAAAGCUCCUUCGUCGGGGAAGAAAAUGACUGUACCCGAAUAAGAAGGUCCGGCUAACUUCGUGCCAGCAGCCGCGGUAAUACGAAGGGACCUAGCGU
RNAcentral lists this ribosomal RNA (385 nucleotides) under uncultured bacterium. RNAcentral's name for it is "bacterial SSU rRNA". It matches the Rfam family "Bacterial small subunit ribosomal RNA", at positions 123 to 541 of the family's 1533-position model. The record is from RNAcentral.